CGGGUGAGUAACACGUGGGUAACCUGCCCCGAUGACUGGGACAACCCGAGGAAACUCGGGCUAAUACCGGAUGUGCCCUCCGGCCACAAGGCCGACGGGAAAGGAAGCUUCGGCCUCCGCAUCGGGAUGGGCCCGCGGCCCAUUAGCUUGUUGGUGAGGUAACGGCUCACCAAGGCGACGAUGGGUAGCUGGUCUGAGAGGACGAUCAGCCACACUGGGACUGAGACACGGCCCAG
This 236-nucleotide ribosomal RNA is filed under the name uncultured bacterium. RNAcentral's name for it is "partial 16S ribosomal RNA". It matches the Rfam family "Bacterial small subunit ribosomal RNA", at positions 103 to 334 of the family's 1533-position model. The record is from RNAcentral.